This 253-nucleotide ribosomal RNA is filed under the name uncultured bacterium. Its description in RNAcentral is "partial 16S ribosomal RNA". It matches the Rfam family "Bacterial small subunit ribosomal RNA", at positions 524 to 776 of the family's 1533-position model. The record is from RNAcentral.
UACGUAGGGUGCAAGCGUUGUCCGGAAUUAUUGGGCGUAAAGAGCUCGUAGGCGGUCUGUCGCGUCUGCUGUGAAAACUCGGGGCUUAACCCCGGGCCUGCAGUGGGUACGGGCAGACUAGAGUGCGGUAGGGGAGACUGGAAUUCCUGGUGUAGCGGUGAAAUGCGCAGAUAUCAGGAGGAACACCGGUGGCGAAGGCGGCAUCCUGGACCGAAAUUGACGCUGAGGCGCGAAAGCGUGGGGAGCGAACAGG